GUCAAUGACACUCAGAAGAUAUACUGAAAAUAAAGUUCUGCCUGUGUGACCUUGGUAACAUGUCAAUGACACUCAGAAGAUAUACUGAAAAUAGUCACGCACAUACAGAGCGAAAACAUGAUAAAACUGUUUGAUAACAAGUCUUUUCCUCUCCAAUGUCAACGGAGAGUGUCUACAGACAGAGCGUUACCACUGGCACAUAAACAUGUCAUCAGCAGAGGAAGGAGAGCAUCAUUCAGAAUCCGCAGAAUCUCAAUAUACCCCCAAAACGAUUUAACACUUUGUUUGAAGGACUGCUUAUAAGAUGCUUAUAAACAUGAUUACAUUGUUUAUGAACCAGUUUACAUUAUUAAAUUGUUUAUUAACCAUUCAAUAAAGCAGUUUAUUAACAGGCCCUCAAAUCAAGGUCCAUACAGUGCAGUAGGUUAAAUCUUGUUGUGUCUCUUUUCUAAAGUCUGUCUUUCAUGGCAACUGGAGUAUUGGACAUAAAGGCACAUGGACAAAACAUGCUUAUAGCAGGUUGAGCAACAACAAGGUAAGUGAAAAAUAACAGAAUAAGGUAAAAGCACCAUAGUCUGGCUGUAAGGCACAUGAGUACAGUAAGAAGAGCCAUACUAGAAGCAGCAUCACACUUUCUCCCCUUCCUUCUCUUCUUCCUUCUCCCCUUCCUUCUCUUCUUCCUUCUAUUCUUCCUUCUCCCCUUUCUUCUCUUCUUCCCUUCCUUCUAUUCUUCCAUCUCCCCUUCCUUCUCCCCUUUCUUCUCUUCUUCCUUCUCUUCUUCCUUCUCCCCUUUCUUCUCUUCUUCCUUCUCCCAUCUCCCCUUCCUUCUCUUCUUCCUUCUCCCCUUCCUUCUAUUCUUCCCUUCAUUCUCAUCAUUCUGUCCUCUCUUCCAUUCACAUCCUUUUGAACACUCUUUUAGAGGGACUGAAAUCACACAGACGUUCCCAAUGCAAUUCCUUAACUUGUGUGUGUGUGGGGUGGUGCAUGAUAUCAUUCUGAGGACUAAGAUGUCUAGUUUUAGGGGAAAGUGUCAUGUAAAAAAAUAAUGAAAAAUACAUUUUCAUUACUGAAAUGCGUACUGAUUAAAUUCAUGGUAAUUUUAUAAAAAUACAUCUUUAAAAAAACCUAACUUGUUUAAAUAAAACAAAAUAUGUUGCUGUAGUUUCUCCAUAAAUUAUAAAAAUGGUAUACUAGUUGAAGUUUACAUUAAACUAUAAUAUUUAUUACAUACAAGCAGUGUCUGUGGAUAUGUCUCAUUACCAAGUUCCUAUAAAACUCCAGCUUUGAAAUAAACAUUUCUUCACCCAUGAUGCAUCAUCUAGAGUAGUCCUUAGAAAACAGCUAAAGAGCUCAAAUUGGGGAAAAGUCUGAUUUUCAUUUUAUAAUAAUUGUAUUUUCAGUGUUAUGUUUAACUCAGGCAUUUUCAUUAGGGGAGCAAUGUUAAAAAAUAUUAGAAAUAUUGAUUUAACUUUUUUGGACUUCAAAAACGAAUGAGAAUUUUGUGAAAACGUUGGUAGAAUGCAUAAUAUCUAAUAAAAAAUAAUAAUAAGUAUGAAAUAGAUACAUAUAGAUCCUAAUCUCAGUUAUUCAAGAGGACAUUUUGUGAAAAAUGACUAAAUGUAUUUUUUUAUUACAGUUUCGUGAGAAUUACCCGUGUGUGUGUGUGUGUUAUUAAUGGACUAUAAUAACAGGUCCAUGCCAAUUAAUGUAGUAUAUCCAACAUUGUGUGUGUGAUUGAGUGUUUAUAAUGUAGAACAGUGUAUCUAACCACAGGUACAGGUCUACCUGUAGUUCUCAGGCUUUAGGAAUGCCUUUCCUUCUCCUUCGUCCAUUUUCCCUACCACUCUGUCCCUUUCCUCUUCCCACCA
Molecule: long non-coding RNA, 1868 nt
Organism: Oncorhynchus tshawytscha (Chinook salmon)
Lineage: Eukaryota; Metazoa; Chordata; Actinopteri; Salmoniformes; Salmonidae
Source: Ensembl